Molecule: transfer RNA, 64 nt
Filed under: Scraptia sp. SCR01
Lineage: Eukaryota; Metazoa; Arthropoda; Insecta; Coleoptera; Scraptiidae
Description: tRNA-Tyr
Source: RNAcentral
GGUUGAAUGGCUGAGUCUAGGCAAUAAAUUGUAAAUUUAUUAACGAAUAAACAUUCUUCUACCA